AACGAACGCUGGCGGCAUGCUUAACACAUGCAAGUCGAACGAGACCUUCGGGUUUAGUGGCGCACGGGUGCGGAACGCGGGGGAACCUGCCCGUAGGUUCGGAAUAACUCCCCGAAAGGGGUGCUAAUACCGCAUAAUGUCUUCGGACCAAAGAUUUAUUGCCUGUGGUUGGGCCUGGGUUGGAUUCGGUAGUUGGUAGGGUAAAAGCCUCCUAAGGCGAUGAUCCAUAGGUGGUGUGUGAGGAGGAUCAGCCACACUGGGACAGGGCCACGGCCCAGACUGCUACGGGAGGCAGGAGUGGGGGAUAGUGGACAGUGGGCGAAAGCCAGAACCAGCGAUGCCGGGUGAGUGAUGAAGGGGUUGGAGUUGUAAAGCGCUUUUACCGGGGAGGGUGAGGACAGUACCGGUAGAGAAGGAUCCGGCUAACUCCGU
RNAcentral lists this ribosomal RNA (432 nucleotides) under uncultured bacterium. Its description in RNAcentral is "partial 16S ribosomal RNA". It matches the Rfam family "Bacterial small subunit ribosomal RNA", at positions 29 to 506 of the family's 1533-position model. The record is from RNAcentral.